CCUACGGGAGGCAGCAGUGAGGAAUAUUGGUCAAUGGACGCAAGUCUGAACCAGCCAUGCCGCGUGCAGGAAGACGGCUCUAUGAGUUGUAAACUGCUUUUGUACGAGGGUAAACGCAGAUACGCGUAUCUGUCUGAAAGUAUCGUAAGAAUAAGGAUCGGCUAACUCCGUGCCAGCAGCCGCGGUAAUACGGAGGAUUCAAGCGUUAUCCGGAUUUAUUGGGUUUAAAGGGUGCGGAGGCGGUCUGUUAAGUCAGCGGUCAAAGCCCGGGGCUCAAACCCGGCCCGGCGUUUGAAACGGGCAGUCUCGAGUUGGAGAGAGGUAUGCGGAAUGCGCGGUGUAGCGGUGAAAUGCAUAGAUAUCGUGCAGAACUCCGAUUGCGAAGGCAGCAUGCCGGCUCCACACUGACGCUGAGGCCCGAAGGCGUGGGGAGCAAACAGGAUUAGAUACCCUGGUAGUC
RNAcentral lists this ribosomal RNA (460 nucleotides) under uncultured bacterium. Its description in RNAcentral is "partial 16S ribosomal RNA". It matches the Rfam family "Bacterial small subunit ribosomal RNA", at positions 338 to 795 of the family's 1533-position model. The record is from RNAcentral.